UACAGAGGUCCCAAGCGUUGUUCGGAUUCACUGGGCGUAAAGGGUGCGUAGGCGGUCGGGUAAGUCUGAUGUGAAAUCUCACAGCUUAACUGUGAAACUGCAUUGGAUACUAUCCGGCUAGAGGAAUGGAGGGGAGACUGGAAUACUUGGUGUAGCAGUGAAAUGCGUAGAUAUCAAGUGGAACACCAGUGGCGAAGGCGAGUCUCUGGACAGUUCCUGACGCUGAGGCACGAAGGCCAGGGGAGCAAACGGG
Molecule: ribosomal RNA, 253 nt
Filed under: uncultured bacterium
Lineage: Bacteria
Description: partial 16S ribosomal RNA
Rfam family: Bacterial small subunit ribosomal RNA
Source: RNAcentral